AGAGUUUGAUCCUGGCUCAGAACGAACGCUGGCGGCAGGCUUAACACAUGCAAGUCGAACGCCCCGCAAGGGGAGUGGCAGACGGGUGAGUAACACGUGGGAACGUACCCUUUGGUUCGGAAUAACUCAGGGAAACUUGAGCUAAUACCGGAUACGCCCUUUUGGGGAAAGGUUUACUGCCGAAGGAUCGGCCCGCGUCCGAUUAGCUUGUUGGUGAGGUAAUGGCUCACCAAGGCAUCGAUCGGUAGCUGGUCUGAGAGGAUGACCAGCCACAUUGGGACUGAGACACGGCCCAAACUCCUACGGGAGGCAGCAGUGGGGAAUAUUGGACAAUGGGCGCAAGCCUGAUCCAGCCAUGCCGCGUGAGUGAUGAAGGCCUUAGGGUUGUAAAGCUCUUUUACCUGGGAAGAUCAUGACGGUACCAGGAGAAUAAGCCCCGGCUAACUUCGUG
Molecule: ribosomal RNA, 451 nt
Filed under: uncultured Hyphomicrobiales bacterium
Lineage: Bacteria; Pseudomonadati; Pseudomonadota; Alphaproteobacteria; Hyphomicrobiales
Description: bacterial SSU rRNA
Rfam family: Bacterial small subunit ribosomal RNA
Source: RNAcentral